Molecule: long non-coding RNA, 868 nt
Filed under: Pan troglodytes (chimpanzee)
Lineage: Eukaryota; Metazoa; Chordata; Mammalia; Primates; Hominidae
Description: long non-coding RNA NONPTRT006620
Source: RNAcentral
CCAGCCGAUUUAAGAGAAAACAUCAAGGAAAGUGAAUGGGUUGAACAUUCAAAUCUUGGUCUCUACUAAUUGGAAGCAUUUCCUUUCCUUUGUAGGUCCUGGUUCCCAUUUGUAAUUGGCACCCUAAUGAAACCGUUUUCUGUAGCCCUGGAAAUGGCUGAAAAUGAGGGGAGGGAAAUAAAGUGCUAUAAUUCAGAGCAUGGAGCACACCUUCCUGGUUCACCUGAGUUGGAUUCGGAGAGGUAAAAUGGCCAUUACCUCGUCUAAGCUGCCACUUACAGACACAGUACAGGAUGAGGCCCAGGCCCACAGAGACAACGAUGAUGGCCACAGCUAAGAUGAUCCAGAAAUUAUUCCUCCACCAGCUCAUUGCAGUGGAAUCCUGAGAAGAAUGGAGAGAGAAGAAUGAGGCCUCCUGGAGUCACAAAGCCUGGAGCAACAGGAGAGCCACUAAAGAAGACGGAACAGCUAGUUCCUGCCUUAAUGAUUAACCGACCUCGCAACAGUCCACCUUGUGAUAUGUUCCUGCCCUACCCUAACUAAUCCAUCCACCUUGUGAUAUGUUCCUGCCCUACCCUAACUAAUCCAUCCACCGCUGUGACAUGUUCCUGCCCUACCCUAACUAAUCCAUCCACUUUGUGAUAUGUUCCUUCCCUACCCUAACUAAUCCAUCCACCUUGUGAUAUGUUCCUGCCCUUCCCCAACUAAUCCAUCCACCUUGUGAUAUCGUGCCUUGUGACUUCCCCCACCUUGUGACUAUCCACCUUGUAACAUUCUUCCCCUGCCCAAAAAAACUGCCCCUAACUGUAACUUUCCACUACCUACCCCAAACCUAUAGAACCAGUUCCACUCCCACCACCCUUCGCUG